UACGGAGGGGGCUAGCGUUGUCCGGAAUUAUUGGGCGUAAAGAGCUCGUAGGCGGUUUGUCGCGUCUGCUGUGAAAACCUAAGGCUCAACCUUGGGCUUGCAGUGGGUACGGGCAGACUAGAGUGCGGUAGGGGUGACUGGAAUUCCUGGUGUAGCGGUGGAAUGCGCAGAUAUCAGGAGGAACACCGAUGGCGAAGGCAGGUCACUGGGCCGCAACUGACGCUGAGGAGCGAAAGCAUGGGGAGCGAACAGG
RNAcentral lists this ribosomal RNA (253 nucleotides) under uncultured bacterium. RNAcentral describes it as "partial 16S ribosomal RNA". It matches the Rfam family "Bacterial small subunit ribosomal RNA", at positions 524 to 776 of the family's 1533-position model. The record is from RNAcentral.